Molecule: ribosomal RNA, 253 nt
Filed under: uncultured bacterium
Lineage: Bacteria
Description: partial 16S ribosomal RNA
Rfam family: Bacterial small subunit ribosomal RNA
Source: RNAcentral
UACGGAGGGUGCAAGCGUUAAUCGGAAUUACUGGGCGUAAAGCGUGCGCAGGCGGUUCGCCAAGUCAGGUGUGAAAUCCCCGGGCUUAACCUGGGAAUUGCGCUUGAAACUAGCGGGCUUGAGUGUGGCAGAGGGGGGUGGAAUUCCACGUGUAGCAGUGAAAUGCGUAGAGAUGUGGAGGAACACCGGUGGCGAAGGCGGCGAUCUGGGUAGAUACUGACGCUGAGGUGCGAAAGCGUGGGGAGCAAACAGG